RNAcentral lists this ribosomal RNA (274 nucleotides) under uncultured bacterium. RNAcentral's name for it is "partial 16S ribosomal RNA". It matches the Rfam family "Bacterial small subunit ribosomal RNA", at positions 523 to 796 of the family's 1533-position model. The record is from RNAcentral.
AUACGGAGGGAGCGAGCGUUAAUCGGAAUUACUGGGCGUAAAGCGCGCGUAGGCGGCUUUGUAAGUCGGAUGUGAAAGCCCCGGGCUUAACCUGGGAAUUGCAUUCGAUACUGCAGAGCUAGAGUAUGGUAGAGGGAAGUGGAAUUUCCGGUGUAGCGGUGAAAUGCGUAGAUAUCGGAAGGAACACCAGUGGCGAAGGCGACUUCCUGGGCCAAUACUGACGCUGAGGUGCGAAAGCGUGGGGAGCAAACAGGAUUAGAAACCCCAGUAGUCC